GAGCUCUUCGCUCCCAAAACAAGAAGAAGAUAGUUCGGAAUCACUCAAAGAGAUCGCGCAGAAAGGAUCUUGUGGCCCACUGUGCAUGUGGAAUACCGGGAAUACCUGCAAAUGGACUAGGGAGUCGUCGAAUCGAAGGGAACUCAAGAUGUGAGAGCCAUUCUCCCCAGAUCGAUUCGGAUUUGGCGAGUGCGAAAGAGCGGAGAAAGCUCAAGAGAGCGCGGAGAUGGAGAUAGCCGGUGCCCGGGGCUUCGGAUCGUCGGGGACAAUGAUAGUGUUGAUAACAAGUGCUUUGCUCUGGAUAUGGGAAUGGGAAUCUUCUCCGACACCGAAAGCCGUGCACUGCAGGAAAUUCCAUUUGGAAGUUUUCAGAUCCUUUCUUAUAUGAUUACCUACCUUACAGGAUUUAAGGGUUUUUGAGCUUUUGAUACAAUCAUAAUGUUAAAAAAUAUAUGUAUUAAAUAUUUUAUAUCUUUCAACUACGUUUUUAGGCCCACUGUGCGCCUGCGCAGCUUCACGCUCGUAAAAAGCACAACUCACGAUCAUCGGAGAUCUACGGGUUCCACAGUAAAAUGUAGAGCAAUACUGACCAUGACACUUAGGAUUUUGUACCAUGAAAUGACGUGUAAAUAAAUUGAUAAAUAAGUUGAAAAGGUUUAA
Molecule: unclassified non-coding RNA, 660 nt
Filed under: Drosophila yakuba
Lineage: Eukaryota; Metazoa; Arthropoda; Insecta; Diptera; Drosophilidae
Description: GE27896
Source: RNAcentral